This 465-nucleotide ribosomal RNA is filed under the name uncultured bacterium. Its description in RNAcentral is "partial 16S ribosomal RNA". It matches the Rfam family "Bacterial small subunit ribosomal RNA", at positions 28 to 507 of the family's 1533-position model. The record is from RNAcentral.
GACGAACGCUGGCGGCGUGCUUAACACAUGCAAGUCGAACGGAAAGGCCCUGCUUGCAGGGUACUCGAGUGGCGAACGGGUGAGUAACACGUGGGUGAUCUGCCCUGCACUUCGUGAUAAGCCUGGGAAACUGGGUCUAAUACCGGAUAGGAGCCAUUAUUAGCGUGAUGGUUGGAAAGUUUUUUCGGUGUAGGAUGAGCUCGCGGCCUAUCAGCUUGUUGGGGGGGUAAUGGCCUACCAAGGCGGCGACGGGUAGCCGGCCUGAGAGGGUGGACGGCCGCAUUGGGACUGAGAUGCGGCCCAGACGCCUACGGUAGGCAGAAGGGGGGAAUAUUGCACAAUGGGCGCAAGCUUGAUGCAGCGACGCCGCGUGGGGGAUGACGGCCUUCUGGUUGUAAACUCCUUUCGCGAGGGACGAAGCUUUUUGUGACGGUACCUAGAUAAGAAGCACCGGCUAACUACGUG